GACGAACGCUGGCGGCGUGCCUAACACAUGCAAGUCGAACGGGACCGGGGGCAACGCCGGUUCGAGUGGCGGACGGGUGCGUAACACGUGAGGAACAUGACAUUCGGCGGGGGAUAGCCGGGCCCAACGGCCGGGUAAUACCGCGUACGACCUUUCGGGGACAUCCCCGGCUGGUGAAAGCAGCAAUGCGCCGAAUGAGUGCCUCGCGGCCUAUCAGCUAGUUGGUGGGGUAAUGGCCCACCAAGGGCGACGACGGGUAGCUGGUCUGAGAGGA
Molecule: ribosomal RNA, 274 nt
Filed under: uncultured bacterium
Lineage: Bacteria
Description: partial 16S ribosomal RNA
Rfam family: Bacterial small subunit ribosomal RNA
Source: RNAcentral